RNAcentral lists this ribosomal RNA (238 nucleotides) under uncultured bacterium. RNAcentral describes it as "partial 16S ribosomal RNA". It matches the Rfam family "Bacterial small subunit ribosomal RNA", at positions 81 to 334 of the family's 1533-position model. The record is from RNAcentral.
AGUUUUAAACUCAAGUGGCGGACGGGUGAGUAACACGUAAGAAUUUGCCUCUAGGAGGGGGACAACAACUGGAAACGGUUGCUAAUACCCCAUAUGCUUUCGAGUGAAACGGAUUUUUCCGCCUAGAGAGAAGCUUGCGGCUGAUUAGCUUGUUGGUGAGGUAAUGGCUUACCAAGGCGACGAUCAGUAUCUGGUUUGAGAGGACGAUCAGACACACUGGAACUGAGACACGGUCCAG